AAUAAUGGUAAACAGCCAUUAGUUACGAUAAACACUCUUUUCAACAGUGAAUGUUUAAAUGUUGUGGUUGCAAUGAAAAGUUAAUUAACCGGUAUGGUUCAUGAUAAUGGAACGAUACCGGUGGUUCCAUGUUUAAUUGCGCUGUCCCUGACAGUUUAGAUCACUUUACUACAGAAUUGGACAAAAAAAGUUCACACAAAUGACACCGUAGGACAAACAUAAGUGUUAAAAGUGUGCCACGACAUUACGGACUCUAUACUCCUCCUCCGGUCGAAACUACAGGGAUGUUUCAGUGCUCAUGCUCCCACAAAGCUUUGCAGGAGACCAUACAAUGAAAUUUAGAACGUUUUUUUACGUUUCGGCGCCAUUUUCGAUUGGACUGGAGGCAGCACUGCCCUCUUUGCCCAAAGGGAGCGGAGAAGGACAGGCAUGCUGAGGCCUGUUCUCAAGGUAAGUUUUGCACAGCUCAAGUGCCCUGUAAUCUAUUGUCCACCAAUAUACAACAGGGGGCGCUACAGAUAAUGUUGAAUAUAAGCGAGUGAACGCCAUUUCAUGCUGUAGUAGACUUUUACAGAAUAAACAAUAAAACGCAGUUCACAUCUAAAUGCUUUGAUAUCCUGUUCAAGUUAUGGCAUGCUUGAUAUAUAGGCUAAUCUAAAUGUGGAAAACAGAUUUGCCACUUUGAAGUUAUUAAUUGGAAGCUUGUGUUAACUUGUAGCCUAUCAAGGAAAUGGCCAGUUUAACUCUAUAGUAACAACGAUUUCUAACGUGGUUGACCCGCUGCGGUAGCAGCACGUCAUGGUUUGUAGUAAUAUGGUGGUACGGACCAUGAGGAGCUGCUGCUGUAGUGGCAGCAUUCAAUUCCUGUCGGCCGUCUGAAGAGGUGUGUCUGAAUAGUUAGCCUCACAUCCCCAUGGGUUGCGCUGUAGCAGCACGUAAAUACUGGAGUUGAGUUUAGUCUGUUAUCCAGUGUUACUGUUCUGCUCCAGUCAGACCUAUCAACGCCAACACGAUUUACAUGGAGCCUGGACUGCAAAAAUAUAGGCUACAUGAAGACUUGUAGUAGGAUGUAUACUUUAUUGACAAAUAAACAAAAUAUAUUGAAAUGAAA
Clupea harengus (Atlantic herring) is the source of this 1111-nucleotide long non-coding RNA. RefSeq lists it as uncharacterized. The record is from RefSeq and is a predicted model, not a curated record. Lineage: Eukaryota; Metazoa; Chordata; Actinopteri; Clupeiformes; Clupeidae.